This 7928-nucleotide long non-coding RNA is filed under the name Sus scrofa (pig). RNAcentral's name for it is "lncRNA (ENSSSCG00055000909.1)". The record is from RNAcentral. Lineage: Eukaryota; Metazoa; Chordata; Mammalia; Artiodactyla; Suidae.
GGACACAGCCUGGAGGUGAAGGUCCUUGGGGCAGAGCUGGCUCUGACACUCCAGGUCUACACUGCCCACUCCACCUCCCUGGAAGCUGCCACCGUGGGAGUAGUGCCUGUGGUUAGGCAGAGAAGGAAGCUCUGGAGCAAGACCCUGGUGGUGCUGCCAUGGGGAGAGGUGUGCUGAGGAACCCAUGGUGCUUGUGCAGCGUUAUGAGGCUGCACCCCAGAGUUGGCUGAGCUGGGUCUGGACUAACAGAACUGGCCCUCAGCCUGCCCAACCCAGGAGCACAGGUGCUGAGCUGGGAACUUUGCAGCCCUUAUCCUUCCAACGCCCUCCAAAAUAGGUGACCUCAAACUUUACAGAUAAGGGCUCAUAUCAGAGAGGUGAAAUGGUUCAUAGCUGACAAGUGGCAAAGCCAGAAUGUGAAGCCAAGUUUUUCUAGGCACUUUCUUCAUUUGGGGAGGGUUGACUGGAAAGGGACUUUGAACUGGAGUGAAUGUGGUGAGAUCUGAGGAGUCUGAGGUAGGGAGGAGGGACUUUACUGGCAACCUGUGGUGCUGAGGGGAGCGGCCCAUCCUAACUGCCCUGGAGUGUCUCUGCUGCCGGAAACUUGAGAGCACACCACGUCAGCCCUUCCCUCUGUCUAGGAAGCUUCUUUGGCUUUUAUGCACUCACCUUUCCUAUUGCCUCCAGCUUGUGAAAUCUGGUUUGCACCUGAGGCCUCAUAGUUCUUGGUGGGCCAAGAGAAGUUAGAGAAAACUUUCACUUCUAGAAUGUGAAACCUGAAAGAGUGAGGCUUGAUUAAAUGAUCACUUUCAUCCGCAUGCUUACACAAUGAUUUGUCAAAGUGGUUUCAAGGCAUUUUUUCAUUACCAGUAUUUCUCCUGCUUCUUCAUAACCAUGGGGUUAUAUAGACAGAUGAUAUUCAGUUGAACAAAUAUUCUUUGAUGCCUACUAUAUGAAGGCUAUAAUAAAUAAAGUGGUCUUUAUACAUUUAGAGUUUAAGUGGAGUGUCUGUGUCUUUUUAGGUUUCAUGUAGGAUCUUAAUAAACAUGGGCCAUGUGUAUGUAUGACUGAGUCCUUUUGCUGUACAGCAGAAACUGGCACAACGUUGUAAAUCAAUUACACGUUAAUUAAAAAAAUAUAUAUGGGCCAGAUUUGGCCUGUGGUCCAAAUUAGCUCAUAACCCCUAGAGGAUAGGGUACCAUGAGAGAUGAGGCUUAGGAGGGUGGCCUGGUUUGGGGAUCUCUAGAGACUAUGUUAAAAGGCCUGACCUUGGCCCCAUGAAUAAGGGGGUGUGUCUCCUUCUCAUAUGCUUUUUUUUUUUUUAAAGGACUGCACAGCCUGGGAACCUCCGUAUGCCGCAGACGCAGCCCCAAAAAGACACACACACACACACACACACACACACACACACACACACACACACAGGAAUGGAACAGGAACACCAGAAGGAGAGCAGGGCAGAAGCUGCAGUAGGCCUGCUUGUCUCUGAGUCUGGAUGCAGGCAGAAGUGGCUAGAAAUCUGGGAUAACAGAUUUACGCAUAACUCCAGCUAUGGAGUGCUGGAUACAAAGCCUGGAGUUAGAGCUGAUACACUGCUGGAACCCAGGGGCUGGGAAAGUAGUCUGAAAACAGUUGCUGUAACCCAUUCCCUGGGGCUGGGGCUUAUUACAAAGAUGCUUACCUAGGGAGACAGGGCCUGGAGCUAAGCUAAGUUGCUACUGUGAGAUUUGAUUCUAGACCAGGAGACCCAGAGGACCUGGGGAGGCAAAGGAGAAAAUCCCCAGAUGAAGAAGGGAUGAGCUUAUAUACUCAGAAAUAUGAGGGAAACUAAUAUGAAAGAAGAACAAAAUCAGAGGAAAAUUUAUCCCCAAAGAAAUGAAAAUAACAGAGUAGUCAGAAAAUACAUUUAGUAGAAAUAGGUUAAGGAUCCUUGAGGCUAUUAGCGAAACAAGAAAUUUGUUAAAGAAAGGUAAAUUAUAAAAGAAACAAGAAUAUGUAAACAUGAAAACUUUACAUUAAAAAUUGUAGGAGUUCCCAUUGUGGCUCAGCAGGUUAAGGACCUGACAUAGUCUCUGUGAGGAUGCAAGUUUGAUUCCCCAGCCCUGCACAGUGAGUUAAGGAUCUAGCAUUGCUGCAGCUGUGGUGUAGGUCACAGCUCUGGCUCGGAUUCAGUCCCUGGCCCUGGAACUUCCAUAUGCUGUGAGUGCAGCUGGAAAAGAAAAAAAAAAGAAUGAGGUGAAAUAAAGAUAUUUCUGUACCUGCUAAGACAGUUUUAUUACCUACACGUCCUUGCUAGAAGAACUACUAAAGGUUUGUAUUUCAAUAAGGAGAAAACUUGGGGAGAGGAGCAGAUUGCUAGCAGCAAAACCAAGUGCAGAAAUUGAUGUGCGUUGGUAAAUUAACUGUAGACAGUGUAUCAGGAUGCUCACGUCACCCACAGGGACUUAAACUCCAGAAGAUAUUUAACUAGCUUGUAAUGAGAAGUUGGAGGGAGGGAGUUCCAAGUUUGGAGCAUUAGUCCAGUACUGACUUGAGGAACCCUAGGUCAUUCCAUUGUUCUUCUCUGCUGUCAUAAGGGUAUAAGAGCUCUCUCCUCAUGGUUGUAAGAUGGCUGCUGCAGCUCCAGGUAUUAUAUCACCUUAGAGCAUCCUAAGCAGGAAGGGUAGGAAAUGCUAAGAGAAAGGAAGCUUUCUAAUGUGCCUCUUUUCUAAGAAGGAGAAUCUUUCCAGGGAAGCCCCAGCAGACAUCUCAUGCUUCAUUGACCUGAGCUGGUUCAUCCUUAGACCAAUUCCUGGUAAAAUGGAACAGGCUUAUCUUAUCUCCUGGGACUGGGUUCUUUGCUGCCUGAACAAAAUCAGGAUUCUUUUGGCAAGAAAAAAGGGGGAAUGGCUGCUAGUAGGCAACCAACAGUGUCGGCCACAGAUGGCAAAACGCACUGAACAGAAACCCAGAAUCUAGUUUGUUUUAGUUUUAAAAUAGGAAAACUAAAAUCGUUGGCCACAUUAUCAAGGAAGAAUCAGGUAGAAUAAGGAAGGGAAUUUCAUUGUUAAAUCACAUCACAUUUCUGCCUUGUUAAAGGGAAAUACCGCUGCUGAAAACUGUAGACCUCAUUAGGAAAAUAUGUAUCUGCUAACAAUUUAAGAUAACCACUUUAGUUAGUUAGAAGAAAGAAUUUCCAAUCCAGAAGGAAAAAUAUUGGGAGUGGGGGUAGUGUGUCAAUCCAACACAAGUUAGGAAAAGAAAAGAGAACUAAAGAAAAAUUAGUGGAGUUCCUGUUGUGGUAUAGCAGAAACAAAUCCGACUAGUAUCCAUGAGGAUGCAGGUUCACUCCCUGGCCUCACUCAGUGCGUCAGGGAUCCAGUGUUGUAGUGAGCUGUGGUAUAUAGGUCGCAGAUGCGGCUUGGAUCUUGGAUCCCACGUUGCUGUGGCUGGGGCGUAGGCUGGCAGCCAUAGCUCUGAUUUAAUCCCUAGCCUGGGAACCUCCAUGUUUCAUGGGUUCGGCCCUAAAUUUGAAAGAAAAGAAAAACUACCAGACUGAAUAAAAUGCAAAUAAGAAGUAAUCUGGAGAGACUGAUCAGUAGGAACCUAACAGGAACUGCCCUUGCUUUUCUCACACAGGUGGUUCUGUGUUUUUAGACAAUUUUCAGUUCCCUGCGCCAUCCACCCACCUCUCCUCAAAGUUGAGCUUUGACUUGCUUUUUUUUUUUUUUUUUUUUCCCCACCCGCAACAUGCAAAAGUUCCUGGGCCAGGGAUCAAACCUGCACCAAUACUGGAUCCUUAAACACUCUCCACCAGGGAACUCCUGCCUUGCUAAUGAGAUAGUAUUGUUUUCCUAGACUGCUUUAUUCCUGCUGUAGAUGUGUAUAGCAAAUUCCUGGACUUCCCCCUCCACCACCCCUACACACCAAGAAACCACACUGGGACUCUUAAGGGGCAGGUUUGGAGCAGAGCUGGGACCCCAUAUCCCAGCUGUCCCCCUUCCCCAUGCUUCACAACCCAGCUUUCCUCCCCUUAGAGCCUGUUCCUUUGGGGGCAGCAUCCAUCCUCUUGCGAUGGAGACUGAUGGUUUAUUUCUCUGGGACUUCCUUGAAAGUUACCAGAGUGAUGAUCAUAGGAUGGAAGAAAUGCGUAAGUUCUCACUUUCUGAUUUCCUGCCUGCUAACUCUGGGCAGCAUCAGAAGUACCAGAGCUGAGAUCACAGACUGGACAGCAUGUCAGAGUGAGUGUCCUGCAGGAAGGCAGGAGCGCCUGAAGCAGAGGCUGCUGGAGGGAUCGUAAUUGAUGAGCGUGGUAGACUGAGUCACUAGGGUAACAGUGAGGGGUUUAUGCCAGAGGCUGGCGCCAGCAGGUUGCAAUGUGAGGACUUCAGUUAGCCAAGCAUGUGGAAGUGAAGCAGCCAGUUUUCAGACACAUCAAGGACGUGCUUCUCUGGGCUUGAGUUGAGUAUAAGGGAGGGGCUGUCAGGUCUCUUCCUCCAGAUGAUGACAGGCACUCCAGGGCAUCUUCUGCCAGGGUUGGCUGUUGCCACACUCAGGAAGCAGGGCGUUUGCUGGGUUGUUAGGUUGGCAGGGUUCUGGGACACAGGGAACCUUCUGAUGGUUGUACUCCAGUUAGUGGAGAAAGCCUCUCUGGAUGGCAGUGAAUGCUUGUGGAAGGAGCACUGGCCUUGGAGCCAUCAGAUCUGGAAUGUAUUAACGCUCCGUCGCUUAUCGCCUGGCUGACCUCGUUUUGCUGUCUUGGGACUUCUGCGAAUACUGAAUGAGAGGCUAUGCCUGCAAAUGCUCAGAAACUCAUAAAGCAUCAUGCAGUGUGCGUACUAAUCUGUGGUUUGAUGCCUUUACACUGAGGCUCUGGGACACAUCCUCAGGCUGUGUGUCAGUGGGUGGAAAGAGGGUGCUUUAUCAGUGUCUCGGGCCAGGAUUUUUUUCUUUCUCCCCACCCCUUCCAAUUCAAGCAGCCUCCCUCCCUCCAUCCUCCGUGCCUUAUUUUGACAUUUCUUUUCUCUGCCUGCCAAGAAGAUUGUGUUCAGCUGUGCUGGUCUGAGGCUGUGCUAUCCUGUGCUUCGUUAGGUUAAUUCGAUGGCUUGUCUUCUGGGAACUGACUGGGGACUAGCUCUAAAACCCUGCUAGCCUCUAAAACCCAAUCCCCACUGUUUUCCUUGGGGCAAGCUUUGCCGCUGAAUCCCACACACCUUCGUUUUCUCUCCUCCACGCAGGAGCCGGCAAGGGCCUGCUUUGGCCCCACCUUGGUUCCUUGUAUUGGCAAAAUUGCUCAAGCAUGCAUCCUCUGAUUGGUAGAAGGCUCUAAGGGAGACCAUCAAAGCUGCCCCUGACCUUCUGGAUUCUGGUUGCUAGUUUCUCUGUUCAGCCUCAGCAUCUUAAACUUGACCAGCCAUUCAGGGGAUAUUUGUUGUUAAAUGGUCUCACCAUAUUUGCUAAAUUUGUGACCACAAACCUCUUGGAAGACCCUAGCAUUGCCUACCACUAAAUUUCCCUCAUUACUCCCCUUCUCUCUUAGAGGACCAUUCACUCCUGUUUUCUGUAAUCCUCCAGCCCCAGCAUCAAAGGUGUGUCACUCCCUGUGCCCAUGCUUUGCUUCACCUCCUGCUAUACAGGUCGACCUCCAUGUGGGCACUGCCUCUCCCUACCUCUUGCUCUGUUCUUGCUACUUAAGGACUUGCUUCGUAAUUAUCCUCUUUUUUUUUUUUUUUUUUUUCUACAGCAUUAACCUCUCCCUCUUCUGAACCAUCCCCACCAGCAUUCUGUAAUAUUUCCCAUUCCACUUUAUCUCAUUCCCCUUUUUUGGUAACACCUUUAUUGAGAUAGAAUUCAUGUUCCAUGCUCUUCAUCUAUUUCAGUUGUACAAGUCAGUUGGUUUUAGUUUAGUCACAUGGUUAUGCAAUCCUAGACCACAAACAAUCUUAGAACAUUUCAUCACCCCAGGAGGAAACUCCAUACCCAUUACCAGUCACUCCCCAUCUCUUCCAACCCCUAGCCCUGAGCAAUUACUAAUCUACUUUAUGGAUGUGUCUAUUCUGGACAUUUCAUAUAAAUGGAAUCACAUCAUGUGUAGUCUUUUGUGUCAGGCUUCUUUCACUUAGCAUCAUGUUUUCAAGGUUCAUCCAUGUAUCAGUGCUUCAUUUCUUUUUAUGGCUGAAUAAGAUUCCAUUGUAUGGAUAUUAGAUGUUUUGCUUACUCAUCAGUUGAUGGGACUUGGAGUUCUUUCCACUUUGGAGCUAAUAUGAAUAAAGCUUCUAUCAUUUGUGUAUGUAUUUUUGUGCGGAUAUAUAUUUCUCUUGGGUGUAGACCUAGGAUUAAAAUUGCUGAGUCAUAUGUUAACUCUGUUUAAUCUUCUGUCUGCCAGACUGUUUUCCAAAGUGGCUGCGCCAUUUUUCAUUCUCACCAGCAAUGUAUGAGGGUUACAAUUUCUCCAUCUCUUCCUUAAUACCUGUUAUUAUCUGUCUUUUUGAUUAUAGCCAUCCUUGUAGGUGGGAAGUGGUAUCUGAUUGUGGUUUUGAUGUGUAUUUCCCUGAUAGCAAAUGAUGCUGAGCAUCUUUUCAUCUGCUUGUUGGCCAUUUCUCAUCCAGUCAGAUGUUUGCCCCUUCCAUACUUUUGGAUCAGCCACUGUGAAGGUCACUGCUGACAGCCUUCUCUUAUCUAUGUCAGACCUUCCCUCGAUAAUUUCUUCUGGUCCUGUAGUUUUAAAAGUGAACUGUACUCAGGUGACUCUCAAAUGUAUCCCUCCAGCUCUGACCUCUUCCAUGAGCCUUAGACAUCUGUGUCCUGCUGCCUGUUGCCAUUUCCACAUGGACUGUUAAAGGGCAUCUCAAAUUGAACCUGUCAUCAACAGAACUCUUGCUUUUUUUUACUCCUGAAAACCCAUUUCUCUCCUGACUUUUCUGCAUGAAUGAAUGGCAUCCCACAACCAGGUUGCUCAGGCCACAAGCUGAGUCCUGAUUUGGUCUUCCCUGCCCACCCACCACCCUCCAUCUAGCCCAUCCGUUAAGCCCUUCACAAUACAUCCAGCUACUUCUCACCACCUCCGCUGCCUGGGUUUUUGAAGUAGCUCCUCUCUGGUCCCCAGCUCAUCUUACGCAGCAGCCAGAGAAGUUCCUUAGCAAAAAAAUAUUUUAACCUAAAAACUAAAACAAAUUAGACUUUAUUGAGAAAUGCAUCACACAUUCAGAAUAGUAUAUAUCGGAGUUCCCGUCGUGGCACAGUGGUUAACGAAUCUGACUAGGAACCAUGAGGUUGCGGGUUCGGUCCCUGCCCUUGCUCAGUGGGUUAACGAUCCGGUGUUGCCGUGAGCUGUGGUGUAGGUUGCAGACGCGGCUCAGAUCCCACGUUGCUGUGGCUCUGGCGUGGGCCAGCGGCUACAGCUCUGAUUCGACCCCUAGCCUGGGAAUCUCCAUAUGCCACGGGAGCGGCCCAAAGAAAUAGCAAAAAGACAAAAAAAAAGAGUAGUAUAUAUCAUAUAAAUUCCUUAAGGAAUAAAAACUUUAAAUCCUCUUUUCCUACCACUUGGAUUAAGGAGUAAUACAUUUCCCCGGUAACUUUUUUUUUUCUUCUCUUUGGGUGGCCUUGUAGCAUAUGGAGUUCCCCAGCCAGGGAUCAGAUCCAGGCCACAGUUUGCGACCUUGGCUGGAGCUGCAGCAAUGCUGGAUACCAUCCCACACCCCAGCCCACUGGGGCCAGGCCAGGGAUCGAACUCGUGUCCUGGUUCGUCGGAGACACCACCAAUUCCAUUCUACCACAACAGAAACUCUCAUCCCCCAGUACUUCUAAAGCCUAUAAAGGGGAGUUCCGCCUGUGGUACAGUGGGUUAAUGAUCCAGCUUGUCUCUGUGGAGGUGCCAGUUCAAUCCCUGGCCCUGGUGCAGUGGGUUAAGGAUCCAUUGUUGCUACAGCUCUGGCUUGAAUUCAAGUGCG